AGGGGUUUGUUUUCGCCAAAAGCAUCUAAAAUAAGUCCUUACUUUCAAGUUUUAGCUUCAGGUUCUAGUAGAUUAACCAGUCUAAGUAAGCACCUGUUCUAAGCAAGCAAGUUGAGCAAACAUUUUAUUCCAAGAAUCAUCAUUAAAAUAAUCAUUCUCUGUUCCACUUGUUACUCCGUGCAGCACAGUGAUCAAGCAGACUCAAACUAUGAGAGGCAGACGAUUCGAAUCAAGUUUUCAAAACCUUGCAAGGUGAACCUAACCCCACAACAUCCGCGUACCACGUCGGGUUCGAUUCACUUGUCA
RNAcentral lists this long non-coding RNA (306 nucleotides) under Setaria viridis. RNAcentral's name for it is "long non-coding RNA (SVIR_LNC005919)". Lineage: Eukaryota; Viridiplantae; Streptophyta; Magnoliopsida; Poales; Poaceae. The record is from RNAcentral.